Molecule: ribosomal RNA, 751 nt
Filed under: uncultured archaeon
Lineage: Archaea
Description: bacterial SSU rRNA
Rfam family: Archaeal small subunit ribosomal RNA
Source: RNAcentral
UGCUAGUUGUACGAGUUCAGACUCGUAGCGAAUAGCUCAGUAACACGUGGCCAAACUACCCUUCGGAGCGCGAUAACCUCGGGAAACUGAGGCUAAUAGCGCAUCCCACACUCAGCCUGGAAUGGCGAGUGUGGCAAACGCUCCGGCGCCGAAGGAUGUGGCUGCGGCCGAUUAGGUAGACGGUGGGGUAACGGCCCACCGUGCCGAUAAUCGGUACGGGUCAUGAGAGUGAGAACCCGGAGACGGAAUCUGAGACAAGAUUCCGGGCCCUACGGGGCGCAGCAGGCGCGAAACCUUUACACUGCACGCCAGUGCGAUAAGGGGAUCCCAAGUGCACAGGCAUAGAGCCUGUGCUUUUGUCCACCGUAGGGAGGUGGACGAAUAAGGGCUGGGCAAGACCGGUGCCAGCCGCCGCGGUAAUACCGGCAGCCCGAGUGAUGGCCGAUCUUAUUGGGCCUAAAGCGUCCGUAGCUGGCCGCGCAAGUCCAUCGGGAAAUCUCCCCGCUCAACGGGGAGCCGCCCGGUGGAAACUGCGUGGCUUGGGACCGGAAGGCGCGACGGGUACGUCCGGGGUAGGAGUGAAAUCCCGUAAUCCUAGACGGACCGCCGAUGGCGAAAGCACGUCGCGAGAACGGAUCCGACAGUGAGGGACGAAAGCCAGGGUCUCGAACCGGAUUAGAUACCCGGGUAGUCCUGGCCGUAACGAUGCCUGUUAGGUGUGGCUCCCACUACGAGUGGGUGCUGUGCCGUA